Non-coding RNA from Camellia sinensis, 1166 nucleotides. The record is from RefSeq and is a predicted model, not a curated record. NCBI's taxonomy places the organism in Eukaryota, Viridiplantae, Streptophyta, Magnoliopsida, Ericales, Theaceae.
AGUGGCCUUACUAUGCUCAAGUCUCUUUGGUUAGAUACGUGCACAAGGCUCCAGUCACUUCCAAAGCUUCCAUCAAGUUUGAAGGAACUUGUUGCAAGAGAUUGCAAAUCACUGGAAAGAAUGACAAUUCCUUCAAACCUGUUGAAAUCAAUGAAUGUCAUGCAUCUAAGUGGUUGCGACAAACUGUUUAAGAUUGAUGGCGUGUUCCAGUUAGAACCCAUAGGGAGCUUUCAUCCAGAAAUCAUCAAGAAUUUGGGCUUGCUUGACUUGGUUUCCGAAGGAAACAUUGAGGUGGAAUUGUGCAAUAACUUGACAUUUACUCGAAAGAAGUGGCCCCUUCAGGGGCUCUAUGAAUUUGGUAUAUUCAGCACUUACCUUCCUGGCAGCAAGGUUCCAUAUUGGUUCAGCAAUAAGCGUUUGGAUUCUUCGAUGUCUUUCGUAGUGCCUUCUCUUCCUAAUUUCAAGAUAAGAGGCUUGAAUGUGUGCGUUGUUUAUGUAUGUUCACACUCUCAUAAAGAUGGAAAUUUGCAUGAUUUUUCUAUUAAGAUUAGUAACAAGACCAAGGGUCUGGAAUGGAUCUAUGGCCCGACAUUCCACGGCAAUGAAGAUAUGAUAUGGUUAAGCCAUUGGAACUUUAGGAAUCAGUUGCAAGCUGGUGAUGAAGUGAAUGUUUCAAUGGUUGUUGGAGUUGGUUUCAAGGUAAAGGAAUGUGGAACCGACUUUGUGUAUGAGCAUGAAGAGAAGUGUUCCCUAUCAAAUAGUGGAAUAGAAGUAGUCCAACAUGGCAACUUUCCUUCUUAUCAGAGUGUUAUAGAUGGAGAUUUGUCAGCAUAUCAGAGGACCGAAGGUGUGUAUCUCCUCUGCCAUUAUAAUCAAUAUCUGGACUUAUAUCCUCCUCAAAACCAUUCAAGUGAUUGAUGGGAUGUCCCCAGUGUUUACAAACCUCUUUGCUGCACAGUAGUAGCUACAGAUGAAGAGGAGGAAGAAGGUCAUGAAAAAGACAACAAUGAAGAGAUCAAGAUUUUGUAAAUUUUCAUAUCCUCCAUUCCUUGUUGAUCGCAGAGUUGCUUGGGCUUUUGUUAGCCAUUCCCAGCUUCUUACGAGUUGCCAUCAUUUUUGGUAUUUGAUUUACAAGAUUAUCAUUAUAUCCACCAAAUCACAUGUAU